GACGUGUCUAUGAGGCCCGCGCUGCGGUUGCGGAACGUCAGGCUCUCGAAGCUGGGGAUGUCCGGCCGCUUGGACAGCGUCUGCGUGUAGUCCGAGAUGGCCCUGGUCACCGGGUCGCGCACCACCACGAUGAGCUUGAAAUGCUUUACGAUGGCCCCUCUCGUUUAUGAGCUUCCCCAGCUCUACCCUGCCCCAUCUACUCGCUAUGCCAACUGGAUUCUUUAAAGCCAACUGGCAGACAGCCUCUCGAUUACUCUAUCCAGAUGUAAGUGAGCACAGCUGGGAAACGAGUGCAACAUGCCUGAGAUGCCCAUGGCCCUUCCUCACCUGUGCACGCCAAAGUCUCUGAGGAAUCAGCUAGACCAAGCGCUUCCUGAACUUAAGAUGCCCCUGUACAGCACAAGCUGGGAAACCGGGCCAGAGAUGGUUGGAAUUUCCCAGUAAAAGAAAUUUGAUCAAAUUUAUGAGAAAAUGUUGGGCUUUGAGCAAACACCACACACUCUGGAGGGGUAAGGAGUGUGUGGACUUAAAAACGGGGGCGGGGGUAGAUUCCUGCCUCCUUGUCUACAAUCUCCAAGUUAGGACUAGUUUACCUCAUAUUUCGCUUGGAAUCUGCAAGUGAAAGCAGACUGCUCUUGGGAGUUCCUGGAUGGCUUUUCUCUGGGAGCAAAGAGACCCUUAGGAGCCUUUCUCAGAGAUUGAAGCUUCAGAUUGUGCGUGGCCAAAACAAAUGCUGCUAACCCUCAGAAAAAGAAUCCACAUUUUAAAAAGCCUAUGCCAAAACAAAGCGCUUGAAAAGAGACAGCCCAAACAGGGCCUUCCCAAGAAAGAAUCCUUAUUACCUCCUGUCACUCAUGGGACGGGGAAGUCCGACUGGUUACUGUGGGAGUAAAGAAUUUGUUACGCCCUGAAUAACAACCCAAGAUCAAGAGUUCUGGAGAUGGAUGGCACGACAUGUAUGUAGUCAAUACUCUUGAACCUAAGGACACAGAGACAGCCCACUUUAAGCAGAGCACAGUUUACAGCAAGUUUUUUAAAGCACUCAAGAAGGAACAAAGGCUUAGAGGGAUGGCUCUAGCUACAUUAUAUCCUUUGGCUUCAAGGUGACUGAGUGCUGGAGCUAAGAACUCCAAGAGGCUGUGGUUUCAUUUUCAUCCUGCUAGUCCAAAGAGAAAUGAAAUAAUUUUUGGCUGUUUGUAGAGCUGAUCUGAAAUCAGAAAAUGGUGUUUGUGGCUCAUACCUUCUAACUGUUGAUAGGGUUGGGGAGGGAGGGAGAGAUGCUGUGACUCGAUUUACCUAAGCCCAGUUUUUUAUUUCAACGACAAAAUCAAGGCAAAUGGCUCAGGAAUCUGUCCUGUAAAGGACUGCCACACACCUCUGCUCCAGAGUGUGUUACCAAGAUUGGUCUGAAGGGAGGGGUGACCAGUGACCUCAUUCCCAAUGGCAGGAGGACCCUUCAGUCCAGACAACAGAAGCCCAGAUAAAACCAGAGAUGCCUUCACUGCCAUGACCCUGGGAUAUCUAACAUUGUCUCACUGGGUAUGGACAUUCAGGAUGCAUGGCUUAAAAGUCAUGAGCUGGUCACUGUCUUUGGAGAGACACAGACUGACUGGUUGUUUUGGGAGAGGUGAAUAAUAGUUUUUAAGUGGAUUCAGUUACCAGAAAGAACACACAAGUUCCUCAAAGUUUGUGUCUGUUGCAGACAUCAUUACAACAUCACUUUGGAGCUGAUCUGGCAGUGGGUAAUCUCUGUGGGUCUAGGGGUUGUUCUUGUAGCUAUCUACGCUGUUAGAGCCAUACAAGCCAGGGAAGACAGGCUCCGUUGUUUGUUCUUUUCUACUAAAGCCAAUGGUCAAGGCAAUGGUUUCUGGUGAGAGUGCUAGAAUGGCCUGGAGGGCUUUUUCUCUCCGCAUGGAGCAGGGGACAUACCACAUUUGCAGUUGUGUUGGACCUCUGGGAUGGUGUAAGAACCAGGAUGCUCCCUGGGAUUAAGUGGCCAAUGUUUCACCAUUGUCUGUAUGCAGAUACCUCGUUACUGGGAGAGCCCAACACAGCACAGUCAAAAUAGAUGGCUUCAUAUCUUCCAGUCACACCUGCUUGUGUAUGAGUCUCACAAAGGAUGCUAAGUGUCAGCCAGUCUUGACACUGCACCUACCGUGUGACCACUGUGGUGGUUUGAAUGAGAUAGUCCCCUAGAGUCUCUGGCACUUACACACUUGGUCCUCAGUUUGUGUCCCUGUUUGGGGGGGAGGUUAGGAGAUAUGGCCCUGGUGGUGAAAAUCCAUCAUUGAGGUAGAGUUUGAGAGUUUAAAGGCCUGUUCCAUUUCAACUUUGCUCUCUUGGUUUCUUGAUAAGUUGAGAUGUGAGCUCUCUGUGUUCCUGCCACUGUGCAUGCAUGGUGCUUGCAGGCCCACCUCCUCUCUGUGAUGGCGACAGACUCCUAACUAUCCCUCUGGAUCUGUCAGCUCAAAACAAACCUUCCUUUCUAUAAAUUGCCUUGGUUGUGGUGUUUUAUCCCAGCAACAGAAGAAUAGCUAAUAUAGCUUUCUCCAUGAAAAGUUGGUGAUCGGAGCUUGGAAGAUGGCUUAGCAGGUAAAGUGUUCAGCAGAAAAGCAUGAAGACCCGAGUCAGAUCCCCAGAAAUAUAAUGACAAAAAUGUCAGACACAGUGCUGUGUGUCUAUAACCCUGACACCAGUGAGGCAAAGGCAAGAGCAUCCUUGGGCCCAAUGGCCAGUGUGUUCAGCCAAUCAGUGAACUCUGUGUUUGACUGAGUUUAGUGAGAGACCUCCUCUCAAAGAAAGGAGGUAGAGAAGCAAUUUGGAGAAGACAAAUGAUGCCUGACACUGGCUUCUGGCCUCCACAUUUUUGUGUGUGGUUUCCCUCAUGACUGCACUUGCGCACACACGCGCGCACACACACACACACACACACACACACACACACACACACACACACAAUCAUAAAACAAACAAAAAAUGAAAACGAACUCCUGUAUACAACUAGAUACAUCAAAAUAGCUGUUGCCUGUGAGGAAUCAGUUUGGGGAAGGAAGAGCAAAAGCAUCUAAGGAGAGAGAGUCCACCUGUCCCUGACUCCUGGCACAGUGUAUCCACUUUGGGUAAACCUGUUGUGGAGUUGUAUGCUCCAAUUUGUGCAGUUUUAUGUAUUUAAGUUAUAGUGAAAUAAAUAUUUUAUUACACUUAUAAAAAAUAAAUGGCCAGUUUCCCCAUAAGACUCCAAGAAAAGCAUGCAUUUCCUAAAGCCCAAACAAAACAAAAAUUGCUUUUGCCAAACCCAGCAUAUCUCCGAAUUGUAGAAAUGCAAGUUACAGAAGAAAAGUGGGGUUCGCCUAUCUAGGAUUCCUGGAUCCCACCUAUGACCACUUUCCUUUUACCCCAGAUAAACCACAGGAACAGGAGCUGUAUAAUUUCAUCCUACCCAUGGAUAGAGUCCCACAUCUGGGGCACAGAGACGGGAGGGAUUAUCUGAACGUAGUUUUUUAAGUGGUGCUCGCAAAAUGCUUUAGGAAUAAAAUUCUCAUUUUAUCAUUGAAGAUAUCUAAGAAAGAUAAAAUAGGUCUAUGAUCUCAAAUAUAUAAUAAUUAAUCCUAAUAUGUAUUAUAUAAUACUAAUAUCAUACUAAAUGUAUACUACUACUAAUAGUAUCACCUAGAUGGUAAUAAGUGGUCCUCUCUGCGCUCAGGACUUGUUCCUUCCUAUUUCAUCAGAAAAGAAGCCAGCAAUGAAAGAGGUUUAGAAAAGGAAUCCACAAACAAGGACUUAAAAUAACAGCUUGGGCAACCACUGGAGAAAAUGAGACCCCGAGAGAGUGAUCCAGAACACCAUGGAAGAUUCAGGAAGGCCUGGGCUCAUGACUAAAGAUGAGAUGAAGUACUUGUCUGUCUACACAAACGGGGCAGUCAUGUGCCACAAAACCAACGGUUCUCAACCUGGGAGCCAUGAAUGACUCACAUUGGGGGUUGAAGUACCCUGUCACAGGGGUCACCUGAAACCAGUGGAAAACACAGACAUUUACAUUAUGAUUCAUAAUAGUAACAAAAUUACAGUUAUGAAGUAGGAACAAUAGUAAUGUUAUGGUUGGGGUCACUACCACAUGAGGAACUGUAUUAUUAAAGGGUCAUAGCAUUACGAAGGCUGAGAAUCAUUGGGCUAGACUGACAAGAUGAGGGCAUAAUCAGUGACAUGGUAAUGACUGGAACAUUGCUCAGGGGAGGUUAGGUGGGCUUUAGAAAGCUCUUCCAAUGGAACCCAAGUGUGAAGAACUUAGUGUCAGUGUGGGAAGGACAGAGGAGGGGGAGCAUAAAAGCCGUGUUCAGAGACAUGAGGAUGCUGUUCUAGAUGAUUUACACGAGGGUGACAUAGAUGUUUUCCAAAGAGGAUUAAAAAAACAGAAAUAAUGGCGACUUUACUAGCAAGUUGGGGUGCUGUGAGGGUGGUAAUCCUUUCCCCACAAGAAAAUAGAAGCACAUGUGUAGUUUUCUGUAGUGGAGUUGGAAUGACUUGUAAAAAGAGGCCAUUUCUUCCCAAGAUCCCAGAGGGAGACGUGACGUUGGUGUUGCUCUGAAAUGUGACUGUUUCCCAGUCCCAUGAAGACAGUCAGUAUGGCUUUGUAGGAAACUCAGAACCGAGAGAAACAAUACAGAUUUCAGCCACUUUCUGUCACUAACAAGCGGUGUGAAGCUAGACAAGUCACUAAUUCUUUGGGUCUCUGUUCAGCAAAACCACGUUGACUCCCUGUAUGGUUCAGGACACUAAUUUGUCUAAUUUGAUGCUCUGAAGCGUGGUAACAGAAAGACCAGGGGAUCUAGGGUUCAGUGGAUUCUUGCAUUUGAUAAAACUAAGUUUAUGACAGAGGAGACCCUUGUCUAUCUUACGCUUCCUCAAAAUCAGAUGAAGUUCACAGAUUGGGCUGUGUUACGAGUAACAGAUCCAGGGCAGUCAGGGUUCAAGCUCAGGUUCUGGGAAGAACCUUACAAGAAAGAAGCAGAUGGGCACUUAGGAACCACCUAUCACAGACUGAGGUGGAAGAAUCAUCACUCUGGUCUCACAAUCACUGGACCAGCUAAGAAUUUGAAUUUUAGUUUUCAGAAGACAGAGAGGUACCAUGGUUUGCCCAGCGAUAGUUGUGACUAACAGGAAUAGAAUACAAUUCUAGGUCUUUCUCAUGUUAGAGUAUGUGUUCUUUCAACCCUUCCAAAUACCCAGGCAGCAUCUGCCAAUGUAAUUCCUAUCACUGGCACUGGCCAUCUAGGACAUUGUGACUAAAUGUUUAAUUGUUGCAUGUACUUCUCCCCACCCCCACUCAUCUUGGCAUGCAAAUUGCUUAUUCCAAAAGCUAUUUUAUACAAAGGAAGCAUAGCUGCAGGAGGAAGUGCUGGGUUACCACUCAAGGACGAUUUACCUUGAGGGAUUGAUAAAUCUGGUCAAUUUGCAUGAGUAUGCUUUCAGUCUGCCUCCUCUGUCUGUUUCUGCAAGCCUGUGGCAGCAAAGUACACCAUUUUCUCUGGAUGGCCAAUGUCUGCAGGUAGUCCCUGGAGAUCCCUAACCGUGUGUCUGGAAGGGAGGAAACCACAUUCAAUCCGGAGCUGUCAGCUUGCUGUCUCUGGGGCCAAGGCUUGCUCAUGUUAAUGUUUCUUUUCCUGCUGCUGUGAUGUGAGAACCCCUCUCAAACCAGGAGUGGUGACUCUGCCUGGACAGGAAACUCCUUCUGCUGAUGUUUGAGUUGGCUUCUGAGGGAGAGGGAGACUGAUGUGAUGAACCAGCUCCCACACUGACCAGACUUGCAUGGAACAAUCUAAGAAUCACAGUGAGAGAAGUUAAAUGUUCAGCUGAGAGUCUGGGAUACUUUCCGGUGCUGUGGACAGUCAGCGCCUUCCAAGACUCUAAAUGAUCAAAGGACAGACAGGAAUGGAAGCGAUUCUGACUGUCCCCGGAUUCAUGAUUCAUCAGGUACCAGCGUUUAUUUUAAGGACAAAACUCCAGGGGAGUACAGAAAGUCUGGGAUUCUUGAUUGCACAUUUGGAGAAACUCUGGAAAGGCAGAAUAUACACCUCUGGUCAUCAACAGAAAAACACGUUGAAAGAGGAGGACAAGAGCUAUCUUGGAUCCCAUGCUUAAGCAGGAACCAUGCCUGUAAAUGCUCCCAGUCAACCUCCAUCAUAUCAGUCACUGAGGAUCUAAAACAGGGCUUCUCAACAUGUGGUCUCGACUCACACGGAGGUCACAUCUCAGAUAUCCUGCAUGUUAUAUCUUGACCCUAUGACUCAUAACAGUAGCAAGACUUCAAUUAUGAAGUAGCAACAAAAUGAUUUUUUGAUUGAGGGAUCACCACAACGUGAACUGUAUCAAAUGGUCUCCGAAUUAGGAAGGUUGAGAACCACUGAUCUAAAACUAGACCAGAUUCCCACAGGCUUCACUGUCCCUCACUGAACUUCAUUUUGAACUUCACUAAAGCCUCCUUCACAGAUAAAAAUAUUGCUUCAGAUGACAUUUCUACCUCUGUGUAUGUUGUCACAAAUGCUACUCCAAAGUGCUGUCUGAUUCAUGGGCCCAAGUGCUCCCCUGUCUGCCUGUAUCUGAGAAACCUGUACCUAAGAAACCACAAGGAGGGGUAGGGGUAUGCCACUUUGCCCCUCUAUAGAGGGUUAAAGCCAUCUCUGAGACUGAGGUUUCUUACACCUCGAUUCCCUGCCUGCAGUUCUUGCUCCACGGGGCUGCCUCCCACCCUAGCAGGGUUUCACCUGGGCAACCACUAGCAAGUUUGUUAGAGUUUGAGCAUAAAGACUCUCAGAGGCAUUCAUGUAGAAAGGGAAGUAAAAAUCCCAUUAGGUCACCACUGGGGAAGAGAGUGAAGGAGGUAGCUUUAAACUCAUUUAGUGUAAGUGCCUGGAUCAUAAUAAAAGUUUAAAAGAAAAGAAAUACUCAGGGUUGGGGAUUUAACUCAGUGGUAGAGCGCUUGCCUAGCAAGCACAAGGCACUGGGUUCGGUCCCAAGCUCCGGAAAAAAAAAAAAGAAAAAGAAAAGAAAAGAAAUACUCAGCUAAGCUUUUCUUCACCUGAUGUUGGGUCAAGAUGACGUAAUGCUCAGAAGUACAAAGAUUUAAGAAAACUCACUCCCCUGUUCUUAGAAAGGAACUUGCACGCUCAUUUGAGCCAAAUGAUUGAACAAGUCAACUUACAAGUUCUUGAAUGAGUCUGUGUGUUUCUUGAAUGAAGUCUGUGUAUUAAAAAAUAAAAAGUUAGGAACAUCUAAAAUCAGAACAGAAUACGAGUCUUACAAAACCACAUUUAAUGUAGUUAAAAUGGGGACAAGUCCCAGAAAUAAAACAGCAGCAAGUCACAUGGUCACCAGAACCAACGCUGGAAAUUCACAAGCCCCGAGGGGUUUGCAUGUUUAUGAGCAACUAACAGACAGACAGAGAGACAAGACAAACCAAGAGAUUAUAGAUAGAUAGCAGAGAUCCCGAUACAGGGGGAAAGGGGACAUAUCAUCCAAAUUCCUCACUGCUGUCUCCUGAGAAGCUCCAUGGGAUUGUAGACUUGGGGUGGGGGACCCUGAGAAAUCCCCUAAGCUCCCCAGGGACUUCCCAUCACACUCAGUUCUACAGUUUCCAUGACACAGAAUUGGCUGAGAUCCUGUGUCUCUUAACCCUUAGUCCACUACUCUCUCAUACUUCACUUUGUCUUAAUUCUAAAAUAAACUGUGACCAGAGUGUAGCCACUAUGAUGUUGGUUCCUAAAGAGUAAAAUUUGUCACUAGGUGCCAUGAGCAUGUGCCAGUGCAAGACAGCUGUGACUUAAACACAGCCCAACAAUGGAGGGAGACAUUUCCUAGAUGGCUUGGAACCAGGAAGAUUUUUAAACGGGGUCCUUGUUAAAGGUAGACUAGAUCUCCCUCUCUCCGGCUUACCUGGAGCCUUAACUACGUAAGUCAACUUACGUAGGAGAUGGAAGUGAAGUUUUUAAUGGAAGCCUGCAGACCAUGGGCCAAAGGCAGGUGAGCGAUUGCAUCCUCAGCAACUCCCUAUCUGAGCUUAUCCUGUCUCCUGACAGGAGUUUCAUGAACGAUGGGUUUGAGAACUGUCUUGCUGCUGUGGUACUACAGGCAAAGUCUUCAGCAUGGCUCCUCACCAGCCUAGAAUUGUCAGGGCUAUGCUUGUGUGCAGCUGGAGAUAAGGCAGACUUCGCAUCCAUGACUUGGCAAGGAACAACUUAAAGCUUGGCCUACGGACAAACUACUAAGGCAGGAGCAGUGUAAAUCUGAGACCACAGGGAGUCUCUGCUCCAUUUUGGCAGUGGUGGGCUUUGGCUUCUUCGUCCUUUCCCCACCGCUCCCUGACACUUUUUUUCUUGCUGUUUCUGAGUUGGAGACACAGAGUGGCAAUGAAAUCAAAGACCUUUUACGUUUAGGAAAGGAGAAGAGCUUGAAGCUACAAUACUGGCGGUACAAUGCUGGACUCCCUGGGUGUUCUGUCUAAAAUUGAUCUUCAGCAUCCUGGGCAAGCCUCUUGGUUUCCUUGAUCUUUAAGUAAAAGAAAAAAAAUACAAAUGUAGUGCUGAAAUAGCACCAAAAAUCAUGCUAAAAAUUUGUCAUAGCUCCAUUCUACAAGGUGACAUGGUUAAGUUCCAGCAUAACAGAGUUAUGGCAUGAAGCUGCCAUCAAACUUCAGGAAUGCAAGGCGGGAGUGUCCAUCAGCACAGCAGGGCCCUUGCCACUGUGAAAGGGUAAAGCCAUCUUGGAAAGGAACACAGAGGGCUCUGGUAUUCACUUGCAGUUCAGAAAGGCACGUGAAUCACUCAUUCACAUGUGCAGGCUUACCAUAGAAGCCAUCACACCAGUAAGCAAUACAGUGCAACCCGUAGUCCUAAGCACACUCUCUUAUCACUAACAACAUUCGGGCUCCAGGGAAAUGUUUCUCCAAACCUCUCUCCCUAAGAUUUUUACACAAAAUCCCUAUAUGUCAAGGGCAUGCGUGGAAUGCACUGUUGCCAAAGUUGGAGAUGAAGGAAACUGCUUCUGAUUUGGGGAAGGAUUUGAGUAGGACAAGAAGUCAGCCAAGGUUCCUGCUAGUUAACACGAAAGAACCUGAAACUGCUGUGUGUGUGUAUGUGUGUGUGUGUGUGUGUGUGUGUGUGUGUGUGUGUCCUUUGCCUCUCCUGAUCCAGUUUGUGACUACAAGGAGCUCACAUUCACAGUGAAUUCACAGCAUUUACACAUGAAGACAGCAUGUUAGCAUGUUUCCAACAGAGGCAGGUUGAUCUGUCCCAGGGAAGAAGGUCAUUCAUGACUCUAUAAGCACCUAGGAGGCUUUCAAAACUGGAUCUCAGAACGCAAUAAACAAAAAGGGCUUGAUAAAACUAAACUACACACUUUUUAAAAAAAAAGUUAACAAGGUCAUUUAAAAUCAGUUGCAUUUCAAAGUUUUACACAGAUCAACACAAUUUGCAUUUUAGACUGUAGUAUACUGUCAUUGGGCACAUGGCCAACUGUGGUCUUCUGGUGGCUUUCAUUCUCUGACAGACAACUUUUAAAUUCAAGACACAAGAAAAUGACUUGGUUUCUCAAGUUUUGCAUUCAACCUUAAUUUACAUUGUUAUCAGAGUAUAUUGUAAUUUUCACAUUUCAAAAAUUCUUUAUAUCCAUGGUCGCCAAACUAAACUCCAUACUCCAAACCAACAUAUUUUCUUUAGCUUUUUGAUUCUAUCUGUGCAAAACUCGAAUAACAAACUUUCCACAG
Non-coding RNA from Rattus norvegicus (Norway rat), 9757 nucleotides. The record is from RefSeq and is a predicted model, not a curated record. Lineage: Eukaryota; Metazoa; Chordata; Mammalia; Rodentia; Muridae.